Molecule: long non-coding RNA, 686 nt
Organism: Pezoporus flaviventris
Lineage: Eukaryota; Metazoa; Chordata; Aves; Psittaciformes; Psittacidae
Exons: 2
Source: RefSeq, a predicted model, not a curated record
UCCCUGCAGCGCCGUGGGGUCAGCCCUGGCCCUGUGUGUCCCAGGAGGGUGAUGCUGGGCUGGGGACUGGAGGUCUGGAGGGGUUUGGGCUCAGCAGAGGUGUGUGGUGGGACAGAGCAGACUUCUCUACGCAGGGACCCCCCAGCACUGCCUGGGUUGGUGGCCUGGCGGUACAGGGAGGAGGCAGAAACCACUGAACCUAGCCUGACCUGGCACAGUUCGUGGUUCCUGGCACUGCAGGGCACGGACUCCAGCCUCUUUCCAACGAGCCAUCAUUCCCAAAGCCAACGGGCUCCAGGCUGCUGAGGCACAGUGUCUUCCAAAAGCAAGUCCCUUUUAACAAGGGGUUUGUUUCUAACUAUGUCAUUAGACAAAGAAGAAUACAAGAAAAUGGAAUCAGAUUCUACUAAAAGGAACCUCUUCUCACAAUGAAGUCAGGAAAGUGGAGGUGAAGGUUAAUAACCAUUCCCUUCUUCGUAACACCCAUCAGGAUUCAGUCCUCUCAAACUAUUCCUAGUCCAGAUGAGGGCUGUUCCCACCGGAGCAGUCUGCAUUGUAUUCCUGGUUCAGGGAAAAUCUGUGGGAUCUAUGGCCUGGGUCACGGAUGGAAUCCAGCGAUCUGCUGCUGGUUAACAGGCUUGAGCACACAUUGACUGGAAGCCAUCAGGAUCAACUCAACACCAGGA